Molecule: unclassified non-coding RNA, 376 nt
Filed under: fungal sp.
Lineage: Eukaryota; Fungi
Description: partial internal transcribed spacer region
Rfam family: Eukaryotic small subunit ribosomal RNA (bases 1-45)
Source: RNAcentral
AGUCGUAACAAGGUAUCCGUAGGUGAACCUGCGGAUGGAUCAUUACCAAAGUGACCCAUCCCACUAUUUGUGAACUGGUAUUAACACGGUUGGCACGGGCCCAGGGCGUUACUCGCGCCUUGGGCACCGAAUACGAGAGGCUCUGUGUUCUCCAAAGGGGCACUUAGUCGUUGUUGCACUCGGGGUCUUUACGGAUUCCGGGUUGAAGGGUCACUCCUGAUAUAUAAUCUUGAAGCCGAACGCCUCUAGGCCCGAGAUUAUAGCAAUGGCAUCGUUCUUUCGGGUGUCAGCCGUACAUUCUUAACGUAUUAAAGAUGAACUGAAGUAAAAAUAAUGAACCUAAAGAAAACUUUUAGCAAUGGAUCUCUAGGCUCUU